GAAGCUUAACUAGAUGAGGAAGCAGGCUCAGCGGGAAGUAAUCGUGCUGUUCUAUCAUGCUACCGACUUGGUGUCAAGACACUGCUCAGCAGUCAACCAUGGAGUUGGACAACUUAGGCUCCAAAGUUGUGACUCUCUCCGGAGGGGCUGGUGCUGGGAGGGUUUCUCUUCAACUUGCAGCUGCUUUCCCAGUCCCGUCUCCAAUCCUGGCGUCAUCAGCGGUGAGGCUGCCCUGUUUCCACCGCAGUCUCCCACAGUCACACCCGUGGGAGCUGAGUACCACCCUUGGACCAAAAGCUGCAAACCCACAAUUCCUAGCCAUUCCAGCUACAGGUUUUCAAAACCCUUACAGACGCAUGUUUUAAUGUACUUUUUAAUGGCUUGCAAUAUCUUUCUAUAGAGUUGUAGCCCAAUAUUUGACAGUUGCCAUCGGUAACUAUUUUACUCUGUCCUUAACUCUAUUCUUUUUCGAGCUACCGUUUAUCAUGGCUAAUACAUGCCGAAAUAUGCACUAAAAAGUUACAUGAGAUAAGCUUACCUAGUAUAACAAUCCUAUUAGAUUUACGUUAAAACCAAGAUCAAACAGGUCAACUAACUCAUCCAAGGUCACUUAACUACUAAGUCUAGGAUUAGGAAUUAAACCCAGAUCUCUAAGACUCUAGCAUUAUUUGGGGAUCCAUUGUUUAUAAUUAAAUAAUGAUGAUUGUUUAAUGCCCUCUUACUGUGUAUCUGGUACGAUAUCAAGAUUCACUAAUUAAUACAUUCAUUCCUCACCAUAAGCCUAUGAAACUGGUAUUACUGCCAGCCCAUUUUACAGAUGAGAAAAUUCAGCCACGGUUUAGGUUGUCUGAAGUGACACUGGUAUCACAUCAACAGUAAUAUCAACAGUUCUGAUUUAAAUGUAGGUCAACUUGCUCUAGACUCAGGAACAAAUUCAACUUUCUAGAAUUGAAACAAGAUAAAGUGUACAUACCUAUAAAGAUAAUUGGCUAUAACUUCCUAAACUGUGAACUGUCAUAAAAAUUACAUCUGCCCUGCCUCAUUCAGCAGCCGGAAUUAAAACAGAGAGUCUUAUAAAAUAAUAGAAUGUCUAGACUUAUUCAUAUACUGACAUUAAUGUUAAUUAAUAGGAUUUUCAAAACAAUAGUUCUUUCAUUCAAAUAAAUAGACCUAAAAAC
RNAcentral lists this long non-coding RNA (1178 nucleotides) under Sus scrofa (pig). RNAcentral's name for it is "lncRNA (ENSSSCG00005027147.1)". The record is from RNAcentral. Lineage: Eukaryota; Metazoa; Chordata; Mammalia; Artiodactyla; Suidae.